AAAAUGAAGCUUCCACAGAGGAGGAAAUCAGUUCGCGGGUUGGAAGAAAGUGUGCGGUGGAAGAGACAAGCAACCGAGACCACGUCAGCUUCAAUCCCUGCUCCUGCAUCUGCUCCUGCUACAACUCGAUCUCCAAUCAGCCCUAGUAAGGUACCCCUUUUCGAUAGAAAGGUAGAACCUGGCAAAAAUAUUGAUUUCAGAUUUUUUGAAAAGGAAGGGUUCUCUAUCAGAUCAAAAAUUAU
This 242-nucleotide long non-coding RNA is filed under the name Elaeis guineensis (African oil palm). RNAcentral's name for it is "long non-coding RNA (EGUI_LNC080848)". The record is from RNAcentral. Lineage: Eukaryota; Viridiplantae; Streptophyta; Magnoliopsida; Arecales; Arecaceae.